UACGUAGGGUGCAAGCGUUAAUCGGAAUUACUGGGCGUAAAGCGUGCGCAGGCGGUUUUGUAAGUCUGUCGUGAAAUCCCCGGGCUCAACCUGGGAAUUGCGAUGGAGACUGCAAGGCUGGAGUCUGGCAGAGGGGGGUAGAAUUCCACGUGUAGCAGUGAAAUACGUAGAGAUGUGGAGGAACACCGAUGGCGAAGGCAGCCCCCUGGGCCAACACUGACGCUCAGGCACGAAAGCGUGGGGAGCAAACAGG
RNAcentral lists this ribosomal RNA (253 nucleotides) under uncultured bacterium. RNAcentral's name for it is "partial 16S ribosomal RNA". It matches the Rfam family "Bacterial small subunit ribosomal RNA", at positions 524 to 776 of the family's 1533-position model. The record is from RNAcentral.